CCCAGGGACAGCACUCUCUAGACUUUGGCUUCUCUGUCACCACACACACUGGAAUUCAAGCCUUCUUCACAGUGUAAAUAUAAAAAUGAUUGAAGUCAAGGUUUUAGGGCAAUCUUUUGUUAAAAUAGACUCUAUUUUAAUAUAUAUGCUAUAAAAAGGUCAUGUUUAGGGCUGUUAAAAUUAAGAAUUUACUUUUUUUUUUAACAUAUGGAAUAAUGUACAUCCAACUCUUCAAAGUCUAUUCCAGGAAAAUUCAAACUGUGGCCCCAAAUAGUUCCAGCUUCAGGUUUCCUUUAUAGUAAGAAUGGUUAUAUAAUACAUAUAUUUAGUGCUGUCUUAUAAUUCUGUAGUGUGAUGCCUGACUAAUUUAAAUACAAAUGCAGAGGGAGCUGUGUGUUUUCCCUUGUGCAAAUUACUAAGUUUUAAAUAUAAGCUCCUAUCAUAGAACUUCUAUUUCAUUUUUUCAAAAA
This is a long non-coding RNA of Ochotona princeps (American pika), 470 nucleotides long. RefSeq lists it as uncharacterized. The record is from RefSeq and is a predicted model, not a curated record. The transcript has 2 exons. Lineage: Eukaryota; Metazoa; Chordata; Mammalia; Lagomorpha; Ochotonidae.